Molecule: microRNA precursor, 80 nt
Organism: Bison bison bison
Lineage: Eukaryota; Metazoa; Chordata; Mammalia; Artiodactyla; Bovidae
Source: Ensembl
GGGUUGUGGGGGGUCACUCUAGGCCCCGCAGCACUGUGCUGGAUGUUGCAGCUGCCUAGGAGUGAUUUCACACAGUCCUC